This 561-nucleotide ribosomal RNA is filed under the name uncultured bacterium. RNAcentral describes it as "bacterial SSU rRNA". It matches the Rfam family "Bacterial small subunit ribosomal RNA", at positions 338 to 916 of the family's 1533-position model. RNAcentral also lists the same sequence under 1 other name. The record is from RNAcentral.
CCUACGGGAGGCAGCAGUGAGGAAUAUUGCCCAAUGGACGCAAGUCUGAGGCAGCAACGCCGCGUGGGCGACGAAGGCCUUCGGGUUGUAAAGCCCUUUUCUGGGGGACGAGGAAGGACGGUACCUCAGGAAUAAGUCACGGCUAACUACGUGCCAGCAGCCGCGGUAAUACGUAGGUGGCGAGCGUUAUCCGGAUUUACUGGGCGUAAAGCGCGUGCAGGCGGUUCCGUAAGUCGGACGUGAAAGCUCCUGGCUUAACUGGGAGAGGUCGUUCGAUACUGCGGGACUUGAGGUUGGGAGAGGGACGUGGAAUUCCCGGUGUAGUGGUGGAAUGCGUAGAGAUCGGGAGGAACACCAGUGGCGAAGGCGGCGUCCUGGCCCAUACCUGACGCUAAGACGCGAAAGCGUGGGGAGCGAACGGGAUUAGAUACCCCGGUAGUCCACGCCGUAAACGGUGGAUACUAGGUGUUGGUGGCUAUCGUCAUCAGUGCCGUAGCUAACGCGUUAAGUAUCCCGCCUGGGAACUACGGCCGCAAGGCUAAAACUCAAAUGAAUUGACGG